UACAGUACCCAGCCUGGGCAAGGACCCGGGACAAGGAUGCAAACCAUACAUUGACCUUGGUCUUGCUGUAGCAAGGGUGGCUCGCUUAUAAGCCAGAUAUAGGCCUUGUACGGCUAUGGAGGUUUAGCCUCCUUGCUGCGCCUUGCCGAGAACGAGUGGGGAGUGCAGAGGGAGCCGCCGGGCGAAUAGAGGGAGAGAGCGGAGAGAGAGAGAGAGAGUAGGCUGUCCUUGUCCGUCCGCCGCCGCCGUCCUCCACUCGCCGCCGUCGCCCUUGGCCGUCCGCCGUCUCGACCUUCUUCCGCUCGCCGUCGUCCGCCACGGACGAGACGAACAUGAACAGGGACGGAGGCGUGGGUGGUAGCCGCGUGGUCCGUCAGCGGGGGAGGAGGAUGCGGAACUCAAGAACCGACGACCUGGUGAAGGAGCCGGCGUCUAGCCCGGUACUCGGCGUUCGAAGCGGGAAGUGGUCUUCUAGACGAGAAGGUACGGGUCAAGCUCGGAGAGGAAGGCAAAAAAGGGAGUCUAGCCUUUCUCGCCGCACUACGUUCGUAGUCGUUUCCGUGGCGACUCGACUACCGUAGCAGACGAGUGGCAGGCAAACUUCGUCACCCGAAAAUACGAAGGACACGUUCGCGGCCGUUCACCCAAUAUAACCACAACCAAGUUCCAACCACCGGACUGCCACCGCCUAGACCACAAGAAGGGGCUGUUGCUGCCAUCCUACGCCGUUUUAAUCUAGGUCCAACCGUAAUUUUGACCUAGGUCCAACCGCUGCCUUGGAAGGAGUUGACACCGCGGUGUAGCGGUUCACAGAUAAAACAUCCAGACCUAGGUCCGUACGCGAACCUAAAACUAAACGACCAUAAGACAGAUAAGGGGGCCACACGCAGAGCCGCUAGCUACCGCCAAAGUCUAGACCAACCAGCAUCCCUGUAGUUCCCUGAAUAAACAUUAUAUAAGAAUAAAUUCUAAGAAAGACGUAUCAAAAACCUGUGGGUAUCACGGGAUCAGAAAAG
Molecule: ribosomal RNA, 1016 nt
Filed under: Triticum aestivum (bread wheat)
Lineage: Eukaryota; Viridiplantae; Streptophyta; Magnoliopsida; Poales; Poaceae
Description: partial small subunit ribosomal RNA
Source: RNAcentral